CACGUAGGGCGCAAGCGUUGUCCGGAAUUAUUGGGCGUAAAGAGCUCGUAGGCGGUCUGUUGCGUCUGCUGUGAAAACCCGGGGCUUAACCCCUGGCUUGCAGUGGAUACGGACAGACUAGAGGUAGGUAGGGGAGAAUGUAAUUCCCGGUGUAGCGGUGAAAUGCGCAGAUAUCGGGAGGAACACCGGUGGCGAAGGCGGUUCUCUGGGCCUUACCUGACGCUGAGGAGCGAAAGCGUGGGGAGCGAACAGG
This 253-nucleotide ribosomal RNA is filed under the name uncultured bacterium. RNAcentral describes it as "partial 16S ribosomal RNA". It matches the Rfam family "Bacterial small subunit ribosomal RNA", at positions 524 to 776 of the family's 1533-position model. The record is from RNAcentral.